UACGAACUGUGCGAACGUUAUUCGGAAUCACUGGGCUUACAGGGUGCGUAGGCGGCUUAGCAAGUCAGGUGUGAAAGCCCCCGGCUCAACCGGGGAACUGCGCUUGAAACUGCUGAGCUCGAGUCAGCUAGAGGUACACGGAACUUCCAGUGGAGCGGUGAAAUGCGUAGAUAUCAUUUGGAACGCCAAUGGUGAAAACAGGUAGCUGGGGCUGUGCUGACACUGAGACACGAAAGCCAGGGGAGCAAACGGG
RNAcentral lists this ribosomal RNA (253 nucleotides) under uncultured bacterium. Its description in RNAcentral is "partial 16S ribosomal RNA". It matches the Rfam family "Bacterial small subunit ribosomal RNA", at positions 524 to 776 of the family's 1533-position model. The record is from RNAcentral.